Pomacea canaliculata is the source of this 237-nucleotide small nucleolar RNA. RefSeq annotates it as small nucleolar RNA SNORA73 family. The transcript has a single exon. The record is from RefSeq and is a predicted model, not a curated record. Lineage: Eukaryota; Metazoa; Mollusca; Gastropoda; Architaenioglossa; Ampullariidae.
CCAACACUUGGUGGCUAAAUGUGUUUGCUGUAAGCAACCACGUCUGGCUGCCUUUGUGGCAAGUAGGAGCUGAAUGCCUCUCACGGGGCUUGAGGUGUGGUCCUUUUCCACAGUGUUGGACACUAACUCUGUCCCCCGAAGCUCUCGUCGGGUGUGGACUGGCUUCUGCAUAUUCCAUAGACUUCCCAUAGUCAUUUAUUGGCUGUUGUGGGAAGACAAACCAUGCAGAUGACAUUU